GCAGAUAUGGCGGAACAGGUAGACGCAAGGGACUUAAAAUCCCUCGGUAGCAAUACCAUAUCAGUUCGAUUCUGAUUAUCUGCACCA
RNAcentral lists this transfer RNA (87 nucleotides) under Clostridia bacterium. RNAcentral describes it as "tRNA-Leu". It matches the Rfam family "tRNA". Rfam says of the family: Transfer RNA (tRNA) molecules are approximately 80 nucleotides in length. Their secondary structure includes four short double-helical elements and three loops (D, anti-codon, and T loops). The record is from RNAcentral. Lineage: Bacteria; Bacillati; Bacillota; Clostridia.